Solanum pennellii is the source of this 2813-nucleotide long non-coding RNA. RefSeq lists it as uncharacterized. The record is from RefSeq and is a predicted model, not a curated record. The transcript is spliced from 12 exons. NCBI's taxonomy places the organism in Eukaryota, Viridiplantae, Streptophyta, Magnoliopsida, Solanales, Solanaceae.
GAAUUUGUUUCAAAAUUAAUUGAAACACUAACUCUUACAUUAUUUGGUGUAUCUGCCUUUUUUUUUUUCUUUCUGAAUCUAUGUAUUAUAUAGUAGUUCAUACAUGUUUGAGUUUGCACAGAUUUGUUUGGGUCAUGCAUGUUUGAUCUUUUAGAGAUUUGUUUUGGUCUGUUUGAGUUUGUAGAGAUUUGUAAUUCAGAUUGUAGGGUGUUUGUAGAGAACUGUUAGGGUUCGCUCAAUUCUGUAGCGAUUUGUUUGGUGUUUUAAUUUUUGUUAUAUUUCUGUACAAUUCUAUAGAGAGUUGUUUGAGCUUUACUUUUUGUUAUAUUUUUGUAAAAUUCUGUAGAGAUUUACUAGGGGAUUUAGUUUUCUUAGUUUGAUUUUGUAUGUUAUAGUUUAGUUGUAGUCCAAAGAGGAGCCUUACAUAAGUAUUGAAGUUAUGAUCUGGGUUUCACUUUGGAGUCUUAAAGUUCACUUUCUUUUCCAGUUUCGAGCCUUAUAAGUUAACUUUCAUUUUGCACUUCUCAUAUUAAUUUAAUUAUGCUAUUAAGCUAAAUUCCAUAUUUGUACUUGAUAGGUUGUCGAGGAAUCAAAAUUGGUGGUCAAGGUAAAGCUAAACAUCAACAGUAAUUGUUUGAUAGUCGCUGAAGCAAAACUUGGGGGUCCAGUGGAUGUAUUUUGUGGAAAGGUAUCUAGGACACUUGAAGUCUUUUGUGCGGAACAUGUCACAACCAGAAGGUUGCAUAGCUGAAGGACACGUUGCUGAAGAUGCUCUUAACUUUUUUUCUCAAUAUCUUGAAGGGAUCGAGACAAGAAUUAAUAGACCACGCCGUGUUAAUGAUUAUCCCGAGGACAAAGGUUUGACAAAUUCAUCUAGUAUUUUUCCACCAGUUGGUAAAGGAGUAGGAGGUGAAACAUUUGAGUUGUCACCUAUGGUGAAACGUCAAGCUCAUCGAUAUGUGGUACUCAAUUGUCCGCAAGUCACGCCAUUUAUUGAUGAAUUUAAAGAUCAUAUACGAAGGCAGUGGAAGGGUCGGAAACCUUCAAGUACGGAUAUAGAGAAGAUUGUUAAUAAAGACUUUAUUGAUUGGUUUCCUCGAAAGAUUAUGAACCCUGACAAUUCGAGUGCUGUGUCAGAUGACCUAAAGUUUUUAUCAAAUUGUCCAACACCACAUGCUAGAAGGUUUACAAUAUUCAAUAUCAAUGGAAUCAAAUUUCGGACAAGAAGUCGAGAAGAUGAGUUGAUAACUCAGAAUAGUGGAGUUGUUCUGACUUCAUCAACAGCUUGUGUUGCUAGUAGUUCUGAUGGAAACUUGAGGCUAGCAGAUUUGUCUUAAAGUAUUCAAUGAGAUGCCGAAGAAAAAUCAGUAUAAAAGUAUGUUCAUAUCAGCGGUCAACUCUUCUCCUGCUCCAGGUCCAGGAAAGUCAUCAUUGUUUCAACGUCAAGCUCAAGCUUUAUCUUCAUCAUCACAAUAAAAAAUAAGUCAACAUGUUCCAUCUUCCUCGUCUGAUGGAGAUUCUUCACAAUCUGUCUUUCCAGCUUCUUUCGACGGAGUUUCUUCAGCGUCAACUAAACAUAAAGACGAUCAAGAUUGACCAAUAUCAAGUAACAAAAACGGUUCGAAUGAAGAUCAAGGAUGUCCAUAACUUAGAAAAUGGAGCGCGGAUAGUCGUAGAAUGUGAUGAAUACGGUGUACCUAUUGGAAAAGCAGCUUACAUAAUUGCAGGAGUUAUGGGGCAGCUUGCCACGAAUGCUUUGUACUUCCCUAUUAGCUUUACGAAAUGGUCAGAUAUGCCCAAUUCUUACUUGGACCGUGUUUUUGAUGAAAUACUAAUGGCUCGAUUUCUCUUUAGGAUUGAUUAUCAAAAAGCAAAAAGAUGGGCUGGCAGUAAUAUUAACAAAAAGUGGAAGGAUCACAGGCAUAAAUUGUGGCAUGCGGCAAAAAAUCCACUAUUGAGUAAAGAAGAGAUCAUCAGAAAAUAUCCGAAUGGCAUACCUACGGAUCAGUGGGCAAUGUUUGUUAAUUAUCGCAUGGACGAGAAACACAAAAACUUUGCAAAAAGAAUCAACUAAGUCGACAAAAUCCAAUUCCUCAUACGGGAGGUGCAAAGAGUUUAGCUAGAAGAAGAGCUGAAAUGAUGGCCAAGGGAAAAGGUGUUGAUCGAGGCAAUGUGGACUGAAACUCAUAAGAGAAAAGAUGGAAGUUAUGUAACAGAGGCGGCUAGAGAGAUUGGGGAGAGAAUUGAAGAAAUUCGUCGUCUUAGGCCAGAAAGUAUUGUCGAAAUUUCACCAAAUGAUGCACUUGGUAUAGUACUCGGUCCUGAACACCCGGGUCGUGUUCGAGCGUUAGGCUUGGGUGUUGUUCCAACUAUGGCAUUCAAACAAACAUCUAGGAGAUUUAAACAUGUUGAUUUGAGUUCAUCUAGCGCUCCACCUCCAAAGUGGCAACAAGAGAUGGCGAGUAUGAAAUCACAAUUGAAUGCGCUACUUAGCUUAUAUCAAAAGAACAUAGGGAAUGUCCCUAAGAGUUUGCUCACUUGUUUCCACCUCCUCCACAGGCACCCGAUCCAGAAAGUGGGGCACAUCAGUCACACAUCGGAUAAAUCAUCAAUUAGAAAUCUAUGAUGGACUAAGCAUCAACUAGGAAUCAUUUUAGUUUUUUUUUUUGGAUAUUCUAGUUGAAUGACACUUGAAAUUACUAUUUUGAUGAUGUAAUUUUGGAGCUUUGAUUAACACUUCAAAACAAUAAUAUUUUGAUGAUAUAAUUUUGGAGUACUUUUGUAUAAUGUGAUGAAUAUUUUGAUCAUUUGAU